CAGCCGCCACGGUAAUACGUAGGGUGCGAGCGUUAAUCGGAAUUACUGGGCGUAAAGCGUGCGCAGGCGGUUGUGUAAGACAGGUGUGAAAUCCCCGGGCUUAACCUGGGAACUGCGCUUGUGACUGCACAGCUAGAGUAUGGCAGAGGGGGGUGGAAUUCCACGUGUAGCAGUGAAAUGCGUAGAGAUGUGGAGGAACACCGAUGGCGAAGGCAGCCCCCUGGGCCAAUACUGACGCUCAUGCAGGAAAGCGUGGGGAGCAAACAGGAUUAGAUACCCCGGUAGUCCCUGUCUCUUAUAC
Molecule: ribosomal RNA, 301 nt
Filed under: uncultured bacterium
Lineage: Bacteria
Description: partial 16S ribosomal RNA
Rfam family: Bacterial small subunit ribosomal RNA
Source: RNAcentral